Molecule: ribosomal RNA, 494 nt
Filed under: uncultured bacterium
Lineage: Bacteria
Description: bacterial SSU rRNA
Rfam family: Bacterial small subunit ribosomal RNA
Source: RNAcentral
AGAGUUUGAUCAUGGCUCAGGAUGAACGCUGGCGGCGUGCCUAACACAUUCAAGUCGAACGGUGAAGGGACUUCGGUCCCGGAUCAGUGGCGGACGGGUGAGUAACGCGUGAGCAACCUGCCUUUGCUUGGGGGAUAACAGUUGGAAACGACUGCUAAUACCGCAUAAAGCGGCAGAACCGCAUGGUUCAACCGCCAAAGAUUUAUUGAGCAAAGAUGGGCUCGCGUCCGAUUAGAUAGUUGGUGAGGUAACGGCCCACCAAGUCUGCGAUCGGUAGCCGGACUGAGAGGUUGAACGGCCACAUUGGAACUGAGAAACGGUCCAGACUCCUACGGGAGGCAGCAGUGGGGAAUAUUGGGCAAUGGGCGAAAGCCUGACCCAGCGACGCCGCGUGAAGGAAGAAGGCCCUCGGGUUGUAAACUUCAGUCAACAGGGAAGAAACAAAUGACGGUACCUGUGGAGGAAGCCACGGCUAACUACGUGCCAGCCGCAGC